AGAGUUUGAUCAUGGCUCAGAUUGAACGCUGGCGGCAGGCCUAACACAUGCAAGUCGAACGGUAACAGGAAACAGCUUGCUGUUUCGCUGACGAGUGGCGGACGGGUGAGUAAUGUCUGGGAAACUGCCUGAUGGAGGGGGAUAACUACUGGAAACGGUAGCUAAUACCGCAUAACGUCGCAAGACCAAAGAGGGGGACCUUCGGGCCUCUUGCCAUCGGAUGUGCCCAGAUGGGAUUAGCUAGUAGGUGGGGUAACGGCUCACCUAGGCGACGAUCCCUAGCUGGUCUGAGAGGAUGACCAGCCACACUGGAACUGAGACACGGUCCAGACUCCUACGGGAGGCAGCAGUGGGGAAUAUUGCACAAUGGGCGCAAGCCUGAUGCAGCCAUGCCGCGUGUAUGAAGAAGGCCUUCGGGUUGUAAAGUACUUUCAGCGGGGAGGAAGGGAGUAAAGUUAAUACCUUUGCUCAUUGACGUUACCCGCAGAAGAAGCACCGGCUAACUCCGUGCCAGCAGCCGCGGUAAUACGGAGGGUGCAAGCGUUAAUCGGAAUUACUGGGCGUAAAGCGCACGCAGGCGGUUUGUUAAGUCAGAUGUGAAAUCCCCGGGCUCAACCUGGGAACUGCAUCUGAUACUGGCAAGCUUGAGUCUCGUAGAGGGGGGUAGAAUUCCAGGUGUAGCGGUGAAAUGCGUAGAGAUCUGGAGGAAUACCGGUGGCGAAGGCGGCCCCCUGGACGAAGACUGACGCUCAGGUGCGAAAGCGUGGGGAGCAAACAGGAUUAGAUACCCUGGUAGUCCACGCCGUAAACGAUGUCGACUUGGAGGUUGUGCCCUUGAGGCGUGGCUUCCGGAGCUAACGCGUUAAGUCGACCGCCUGGGGAGUACGGCCGCAAGGUUAAAACUCAAAUGAAUUGACGGGGGCCCGCACAAGCGGUGGAGCAUGUGGUUUAAUUCGAUGCAACGCGAAGAACCUUACCUGGUCUUGACAUCCACGGAAGUUUCCAGAGAUGGAUUGGUGCCUUCGGGAACUGUGAGACAGGUGCUGCAUGGCUGUCGUCAGCUCGUGUUGUGAAAUGUUGGGUUAAGUCCCGCAACGAGCGCAACCCUUAUCCUUUGUUGCCAGCGGUCCGGCCGGGAACUCAAAGGAGACUGCCAGUGAUAAACUGGAGGAAGGUGGGGAUGACGUCAAGUCAUCAUGGCCCUUACGACCAGGGCUACACACGUGCUACAAUGGCGCAUACAAAGAGAAGCGACCUCGCGAGAGCAAGCGGACCUCAUAAAGUGCGUCGUAGUCCGGAUUGGAGUCUGCAACUCGACUCCAUGAAGUCGGAAUCGCUAGUAAUCGUGGAUCAGAAUGCCACGGUGAAUACGUUCCCGGGCCUUGUACACACCGCCCGUCACACCAUGGGAGUGGGUUGCAAAAGAAGUAGGUAGCUUAACCUUCGGGAGGGCGCUUACCACUUUGUGAUUCAUGACUGGGGUGAAGUCGUAACAAGGUAACCGUAGGGGAACCUGCGGUUGGAUCACCU
Molecule: ribosomal RNA, 1530 nt
Filed under: Escherichia coli KTE29
Lineage: Bacteria; Pseudomonadati; Pseudomonadota; Gammaproteobacteria; Enterobacterales; Enterobacteriaceae
Description: bacterial SSU rRNA
Rfam family: Bacterial small subunit ribosomal RNA
Source: RNAcentral